RNAcentral lists this ribosomal RNA (526 nucleotides) under uncultured bacterium. Its description in RNAcentral is "bacterial SSU rRNA". It matches the Rfam family "Bacterial small subunit ribosomal RNA", at positions 1 to 507 of the family's 1533-position model. The record is from RNAcentral.
CGAAAAGUACUAUACAAUUAAAUAAAAUAGGUAGAAACAAAAGAAUAGCGAAGAAGAAGCAAAUGCGCUUCACGCUAAUUCCAAGUACCAACACAAAACAAAUUCAAUGUUUGGUGAAGCAACUUGCUUAGUGGCGGACGGGUGAGUAACGCGUGAACAAUCUGCCCCGUACAAAGGGAUAGCCUCGGGAAACCGGGAUUAAAACCAUAUAACACUUAACUGCCGCAUGGUAGUGAAGUCAAAUCGAUUAAGAGGUAUGGGAUGAGUUCGCGUCUGAUUAGCUAGUUGGUGAGGUAAGGGCUCACCAAGGCGACGAUCAGUAGCCGGCCUGAGAGGGUGAACGGCCACACUGGAACUGAGACACGGUCCAGACUCCUACGGGAGGCAGCAGUGGGGAAUAUUGCACAAUGGAGGGAACUCUGAUGCAGCGACGCCGCGUGAGUGAAGAAGGUCUUCGGAUCGUAAAACUCUGUCCUUGGUGAAGAAAAGGACGGUAGCCAAGGAGGAAGCCCCGGCUAACUACGUG